RNAcentral lists this unclassified non-coding RNA (395 nucleotides) under soil metagenome. RNAcentral describes it as "partial contains 5.8S ribosomal RNA, internal transcribed spacer 2, and large subunit ribosomal RNA". The stretch from base 1 to 122 matches the Rfam family "5.8S ribosomal RNA", at positions 35 to 154 of the family's 154-position model. The record is from RNAcentral.
GAUGAAGAACGUAGCGAAAUGCGAUACUUGGUGUGAAUUGCAGAAUCCCGUGAACCAUCGAGUCUUUGAACGCAAGUUGCGCCCGAAGCCAUCAGGUUGAGGGCACGUCUGCCUGGGCGUCACAUAUCGUUGCCCAAUGCCUAUUGAAGUGAAAUAGGAAUUUCUAGGGCGAAUGAUGGCUUCCCGUGAGCGUUGUUGCCUCGCGGUUGGUUGAAAAUCGAGUCCUUGGUAGGGUGUGCCAUGGUAGAUGGUGGUCGAGUUAGAACGAUACCGAUCAUGUGCAUGCUCCCCAAAAUAUGGCCUCUAUGACCCACACGCGUCUUUUGACGCUCAUGACGAGACCUCAGGUCAGGCGGGGCUACCCGCUGAAUUUAAGCAUAUCAAUAAGCGGAGGA